CAGCAGCCGCGGGAAUACGUAGGGUGCGAGCGUUAAUCGGAAUUACUGGGCGUAAAGCGUGCGCAGGCGGUUGUGUAAGACAGGUGUGAAAUCCCCGGGCUUAACCUGGGAACUGCGCUUGUGACUGCACAGCUAGAGUAUGGCAGAAGGGGGUGGAAUUCCACGUGUAGCAGUGAAAUGCGUAGAGAUGUGGAGGAACACCGAUGGCGAAGGCAGCCCCCUGGGCCAAUACUGACGCUCAUGCACGAAAGCGUGGGGAGCAAACAGGAUUAGAUACCCCAGUAGUCCCUGUCUCUUAUAC
Molecule: ribosomal RNA, 301 nt
Filed under: uncultured bacterium
Lineage: Bacteria
Description: partial 16S ribosomal RNA
Rfam family: Bacterial small subunit ribosomal RNA
Source: RNAcentral